Nomascus leucogenys (northern white-cheeked gibbon) is the source of this 569-nucleotide non-coding RNA. The record is from the annotation of a RefSeq genome assembly. Lineage: Eukaryota; Metazoa; Chordata; Mammalia; Primates; Hylobatidae.
AUGAGGCUCCCUGCUCAACUCCUGGGGCUGUUAAUGCUCUGGGUCCCUGGAUCCAGUGAGAACAUUGGGAUGACCCAGAUUCCACUCUCCCUGCCUGUCACCCUUGGAGAGCCAGCCUCCAUCUCCUGCAGGUCUAGUCAGAGCCUCAUGGAUAGUGAUCAUGGAUUCACCUAUUUGUAUUGGUAUCUGCAGAAGCCAGGCCAGUCUCCACAGCUCCUGAUCUAUUUUGUUUCCUACCGGGCCUCUGGAGUCCCAGACAGGUUCAGUGGCAGUGGGUCAGGCACUGAUUUCACACUGGAAAUCAGCAGGGUGGAGGCUGAGGAUGUUGGGUUUUAUUACUGCAUGCAAAGUAGAGAGCUUCCUCCCACAGUGGUAUAGCCCUGAACAGAAAUCUCUCUGCUGGGGUGUCCCAGCUGCUCACAUGCCCUGCUUGUCUUGGGAGCAGCUCAGCAGUGUCUCUGAGACUGCAGAAGAGGAGGCUGUUGGAGGAAUCAGGUCAGAGUAUGCUUCUGAAGACUCUGUCUGGGACGACAGGUGCAUGUCACUAAGCAUGGCUAAUUUUUAUAUUU